CUUUCCUGGCCAUAUCCAUGGCAGCACAACAAUGGGUAAUACCCAAGCUAAAACCAAGGGAGGGAAAGAAAAACUCAGACACAUUAUUAAAUAAUGCAAGUGUAUUGUCACAAACAACUCAAUGUGAUGAACAAAAAGAAUAGUAGUUAGUCCUAUGAGGCAGAAAGAACUGAUCUGCCAAAUCCAUCGUAUUGGCCAGCUCUUACAUCUAAACGAUAAUGUCUAAUAAAUGUAUUAGAAGAUGACCAAGUGGCUGCUUUGCAAAUCAG
Molecule: non-coding RNA, 269 nt
Organism: Pelobates cultripes (western spadefoot toad)
Lineage: Eukaryota; Metazoa; Chordata; Amphibia; Anura; Pelobatidae
Source: the annotation of a GenBank genome assembly